Molecule: long non-coding RNA, 535 nt
Filed under: Nicotiana benthamiana
Lineage: Eukaryota; Viridiplantae; Streptophyta; Magnoliopsida; Solanales; Solanaceae
Description: long non-coding RNA (NBEN_LNC006493)
Source: RNAcentral
GACAAAAGAUAUUCAAGGAUAUGAUAAAGAGCAUGUUUAUUGACCAAAAUGGCAUGUCUUUCUUAGUCUUCCUUCCCCCAAUAGAAUGAGCACAACAUGGUACUAAUACCACCAUAAAAAGGAAAAAAAACUAAAAGAAGACAUGCCAAUGUACAAGUUACAUCAUAAUUUAUACAUUAUUUCUAACAAAUCUCAUAAAACCUUCAAGGUUUGGAGGUGGUUGUGUUGGCGGUGGUGGAAAUGAAGCUUGUUCAUCACCACUUCCGGGUGAAGNNNNNNNNNNNNNNNNNNNNNNNGUUCAUCACCACUUUCGGGUGAAGUUGCUUCCUGAGCAAGUUCUGCUAUCAUUUCUUCAUACGCCUCAUCUAUUUCUGGUUGUGAUUCUGCUAGGUGAAAGUUCAUUCUUUCUACGCGGAUCCAAUCUCGAAAAAGCACUGAUUUUUCCAAGCUGUCCCGCAACGAUGCUCUAUGAUCACCUAUUUGUAGUCUUUCUUGACUAAAAGCGCUCUCCGAUGCAACAGUUGACGCUUGANNN